CGUUGAUUGGAUGGUCAAGCCCAAUGACGUGUUCAAACGUGUCUUCCUAAACAAGAAACGAGUUUGAAAAAAAGUUGUUGUAUCAACAACUUCCGGUACAUUCAGUGAGCGAUGUCCUAGAAACAUAAACACAAUUACUAAAUUCGGUAAAAUGGACAACCGUUGUUUUUGUUGUUCAUCAAAGUUCACUCUCUUCAGGAAGCUCACGGAAUAAGCUGCAUUGGACGAGGCCAGUGGCUACAACAUACCCCCUGAGCACAGUGGCGCAAAAAACACAGAAAUGACAGCUGCCCACAAGAAACAGCAGCUGCCCUGGCCAGUCAGGCUUCAGACAGUGAUGAGGAUGAGCUUCCCUGGUGCUGCAUCUGUAAUCAGGAGACCUCCAUCCGCUGUCACACCUGUGAUGGGGAUCUUUUGACUGCAACCGCUGCUUCAGACUCCAAUCCAGAGCGACCCACCGGAACAACCAUGGUCAAGCGCCCCGACCAAGGACACGUUGACAGAUCCGCCACCAAGUAAAAACAGGAACCAGCGAUCUAUCGGCCACUGUUUUGAUGUUUAUAUACACUGACUGGCUUUAUCCUUCUAUGAAAUGACAUAUCAUCCAUACACAACCAACAUUGACCCAUGUGUGCAGAGAGAAGGUCCCAUUAACAUGCAAUUGCACAGAGAGACAUCCAAAAUACCAGGUAAUGACGGGGUGGGUUGCGGAGUCUGGGGCGCUUCACAUUGUCUCGAGUCUUGAUUUG
Non-coding RNA from Oncorhynchus mykiss (rainbow trout), 749 nucleotides. The record is from RefSeq and is a predicted model, not a curated record. Lineage: Eukaryota; Metazoa; Chordata; Actinopteri; Salmoniformes; Salmonidae.